This 460-nucleotide ribosomal RNA is filed under the name uncultured Treponema sp. RNAcentral describes it as "partial 16S ribosomal RNA". It matches the Rfam family "Bacterial small subunit ribosomal RNA", at positions 341 to 792 of the family's 1533-position model. Lineage: Bacteria; Pseudomonadati; Spirochaetota; Spirochaetia; Treponematales; Treponemataceae. The record is from RNAcentral.
ACGGAAGGCAGCCUCUCCGCAUAUUCCGCAAUGCACGAAAGUGUGACGGAGCGACGCCGCGUGGAUGAUGAAGGCCGGAAGGUUGUAAAAUCCUUUUAUGACUGAGGAAUAAGUAUUCUGAGAGAAACGGAGUAUGGUGACUGUAGGUCAUGAAUAAGCAACGGCUAAUUACGUGCCAGCAGCCGCGGUAACACGUAAGUUGCGAGCGUUGUUCGGAAUUAUUGGGCGUAAAGGGCAUGUAGGCGGUUUUGCAAGCUUGGUGUGAAAGGCAGGAGCUUAACUACUGGAAUGCGUUGAGAACUGCAAGACUUGAGUAACUGAGGGGCAAUCAGAAUUCCUGGUGUAGGGGUGAAAUCUGUAGAUAUCAGGAAGAAUACCAAUGGCGAAGGCAGGUUACCAGCAGAUGACUGACGCUGAGGUGCGAAGGUGCGGGGAGCAAACAGGAUUAGAUACCCUGGUA